GAUGAACGCUGGCGGCGUGCCUAAUACAUGCGAGUCGAGCGAACAGAUGAGGAGCUUGCUCCUCUGACGUUAGCGGCGGACGGGUGAGUAACACGUGGAUAACCUACCUAUAAGACUGGGAUAACUUCGGGAAACCGGAGCUAAUACCGGAUAAUAUAUUGAACCGCAUGGUUCAAUAGUGAAAGACGGUUUUGCUGUCACUUAUAGAUGGAUCCGCGCCGCAUUAGCUAGUUGGUAAGGUAACGGCUUACCAAGGCAACGAUGCGUAGCCGACCUGAGAGGGUGAUCGGCCACACUGGAACUGAGACACGGUCCAGACUCCUACGGGAGGCAGCAGUAGGGAAUCUUCCGCAAUGGGCGAAAGCCUGACGGAGCAACGCCGCGUGAGUGAUGAAGGUCUUCGGAUCGUAAAACUCUGUUAUUAGGGAAGAACAAAUGUGUAAGUAACGAUGCACGUCUUGACGGUACCUAAUCAGAAAGCCACGGCUAACUACGUG
RNAcentral lists this ribosomal RNA (497 nucleotides) under uncultured bacterium. Its description in RNAcentral is "partial 16S ribosomal RNA". It matches the Rfam family "Bacterial small subunit ribosomal RNA", at positions 28 to 507 of the family's 1533-position model. The record is from RNAcentral.